This 1398-nucleotide ribosomal RNA is filed under the name uncultured bacterium. RNAcentral describes it as "bacterial SSU rRNA". It matches the Rfam family "Bacterial small subunit ribosomal RNA". The record is from RNAcentral.
AGAGUUUGAUCCUGGCUCAGGAUGAACUCUAGCGAUAGGCUUAACACAUGCAAGUCGAGGGGCAGCAUGAACAAAGCUUGCUUUGUUUGAUGGCGACCGGCGCACGGGUGCGUAACGCGUAUGCAACCUACCCAUAAGAGGGGGAUAGCCCCUCGAAAGAGGGAUUAAUACCACAUGGCAAGCAUUUCCCGCAUGGGUGAUGCUUUAAACAACUUGGCUUAUGGAUGGGCAUGCGUUCCAUUAGGUAGUUGGUAGGGUAACGGCCUACCAAGCCGACGAUGGAUAGGGGUCCUGAGAGGGAGGUCCCCCACACUGGUACUGAGACACGGACCAGACUCCUACGGGAGGCAGCAGUGAGGAAUAUUGGUCAAUGGGCGGAAGCCUGAACCAGCCAAAUCGCGUGAAGGAAGAAGGUGUUAUGCAUUGUAAACUUCUUUUGUCGGGGAAUAAAGUGCACCACGAGUGGUGUUUUGUAUGUACCCGAAGAAUAAAGACCGGCUAAUUCCGUGCCAGCAGCCGCGGUAAUACGGAAGGUCUGAGCGUUAUCCGGAUUUAUUGGGUUUAAAGGGUGCGUAGGCGGGCGUUUAAGUCAGCGGUGAAAGUUUGCGGCUCAACCGUAAAAUUGCCGUUGAUACUGGAUGCCUUGAGUGCAGAGGAGGUAGGCGGAAUUCGUCGUGUAGCGGUGAAAUGCGUAGAUAUGACGAAGAACACCAAUUGCGUAGGCAGCUUACCAUAGUGCAACUGACGCUGAGGCACGAAAGUGUGGGUAUCAAACAGGAUUAGAUACCCUGGUAGUCCACACAGUAAACGAUGAAUACUAGUUGUUUGCGAUAGACGGCAGGCGCCCGAGCGAAAAGCAUUAAGUAUUCCACCUGGGGAGUACGCCGGCAACGGUGAAACUCAAAGGAAUUGACGGGGGCCCGCCCAAGCGGAGGAACAUGUGGUUUAAUUCGAUGAUACGCGAGGAACCUUACCCGGGCUUGAAUUGCAACUGAAUAUAUCGGAAACGGUAUAGCCGCAAGGCAGUUGUGAAGGUGCUGCAUGGUUGUCGUCAGCUCGUGCCGUGAGGUGUCGGCUUAAGUGCCAUAACGAGCGCAACCCUUGCCAUUAGUUACUAACAGGUAGAGCUGAGGACUCUAAUGGAACUGCCAUCGUAAGAUGAGAGGAAGGUGGGGAUGACGUCAAAUCAGCACGGCCCUUACGUCCGGGGCGACACACGUGUUACAAUGGGGGGUACAAAGGGCAGCUACCUGGCGACAGGAUGCAAAUCCCCAAAACCCUUCUCAGUUCGGAUCGGAGUCUGCAACUCGACUCCGUGAAGCUGGAUUCGCUAGUAAUCGCGCAUCAGCCAUGGCGCGGUGAAUACGUUCCCGGGCCUUGCACACACCGCCCGUCAAG